UGAGGAAUAUUGGACAAUGGGCGCAAGCCUGAUCCAGCCAUGCCGCGUGCAGGAAGAAGCAUCUAUGGUGUGUAAACUGCUUUUGUACGGGAAGAAACACUCCUUCGUGAAGGAGCUUGACGGUACCGUAAGAAUAAGGAUCGGCUAACUCCGUGCCAGCAGCCGCGGUAAUACGGAGGAUCCAAGCGUUAUCCGGAAUCAUUAGGUUUAAAGGGUCCGUAGGCGGUUUAGUAAGUCAGUGGUGAAAGCCCAUCGCUCAACGAUGGAACGGCCAUGGAUACUGCUAGACUUGAAUUACAAGGAAGUAACUAGAAUAUGUAGUGUAGCGGUGAAAUGCUUAGAUAUUACAUGGAAUACCAAUUGCGAAGGCAGGUUACUACUUGUGGAUUGACGCUGAUGGACGAAAGCGUGGGGAGCGAACA
This 422-nucleotide ribosomal RNA is filed under the name uncultured bacterium. Its description in RNAcentral is "bacterial SSU rRNA". It matches the Rfam family "Bacterial small subunit ribosomal RNA", at positions 355 to 774 of the family's 1533-position model. The record is from RNAcentral.